Molecule: ribosomal RNA, 119 nt
Organism: Bison bison bison
Lineage: Eukaryota; Metazoa; Chordata; Mammalia; Artiodactyla; Bovidae
Source: Ensembl
GUCUCCGCCCAUAUCAGCCUGAAGGCGCCAGAUCUCCUGUGAUCGCAGAAGCUAAGCAGGGUCGAGCCUGGUUAGUACUUGGAUGGGAGACCACCUGGGAAUACCGGGUGCUGGAGGCU